AAUGAUUUUGUGGCCAAAUCACCCCUGAAUGUGGCCACAGUCUCGUCAGAUCUCAGAAGCUAAGUAGGCUUGAGCAUGGCUCGUAUUUGGAUGGGAAGACGCCCGUGAAUACCAGUAUGGAAAUUAUUU
RNAcentral lists this ribosomal RNA (129 nucleotides) under Petromyzon marinus (sea lamprey). Lineage: Eukaryota; Metazoa; Chordata; Hyperoartia; Petromyzontiformes; Petromyzontidae. The record is from RNAcentral.